AACUUUCAACAACGGAUCUCUUGGCUCUGGCAUCGAUGAAGAACGCAGCGAAAUGCGAUACGUAAUGUGAAUUGCAGAAGUUAGUGAAUCAUCGAAUCUUUGAACGCACAUUGCGCCCGCCAGUAUUCUGGCGGCAUGCCUGUUCGAGCGUCAUUUC
This 157-nucleotide ribosomal RNA is filed under the name Xylaria enterogena. RNAcentral describes it as "5.8S ribosomal RNA". It matches the Rfam family "5.8S ribosomal RNA". From Rfam's summary of the family: 5.8S ribosomal RNA (5.8S rRNA) is a component of the large subunit of the eukaryotic ribosome. It is transcribed by RNA polymerase I as part of the 45S precursor that also contains 18S and 28S rRNA. Lineage: Eukaryota; Fungi; Ascomycota; Sordariomycetes; Xylariales; Xylariaceae. The record is from RNAcentral.